Molecule: long non-coding RNA, 432 nt
Organism: Myzus persicae (green peach aphid)
Lineage: Eukaryota; Metazoa; Arthropoda; Insecta; Hemiptera; Aphididae
Exons: 2
Source: RefSeq, a predicted model, not a curated record
GAUCGUGGUAAACAGUCAGCAAAGAGCAAACCCUUUGCUUUUGUUACCUUCACAAAAACAUGCAUUUUACAUUUUAUAUUUUUAUCAAUUAGAAUUGCUAGUAAUAUUGGUAGUUUUAUAAUUAAUCAUUUUGUUUUCAUAAUAAUAUAAUAAUAUGCUUUUUGGGUUAUAAUAUUACCGUUAUAGGGUAUUCCUCAAUUGUUGAUACGCGCAGGACUAUAGAAGUGUAGAACUACUAGAAGCCAGGAGGUCUGAUAGAAAAAAUCCUCUUCGACGCAGAAAGUCAGAAAUUAUACUCUAUACUUGUGUACUACCCAUAUUUAUAGACUGAUAUUUGUGCUUCGACAAUUCGACAUUAACUAUCAUUUAGUGAAGCAUCGCUAUUCUGUAUUCACUGGAUACAAGUGAAGAAGGGUAUGAUUGUGAUUUGAC